CAUGCAAGUCGAACGGGGAAAGCUUUCGGGUGAGUACUAGUGGCGCACGGGUGAGUAACGCGUGGAUAAUCUGCCUUUGAGUGGGGGAUAACUAGUCGAAAGAUUAGCUAAUACCGCAUAAGACCACAGGAACUGAGGUUCUAGGGGUUAAAGGUUUUUCGCUCAUAGAUGAGUCCGCGUGAGAUUAGCUAGUUGGUGAGGUAACGGCUCACCAAGGCGACGAUCUCUAACUGGUCUGAGAGGAUUAUCAGUCACACUGGAACUGAGACACGGUCCAGACUCCUACGGGAGGCAGCAGUAGGGAAUAUUGCACAAUGGAGGAAACUCUGAUGCAGCGACGCCGCGUGAGUGAUGAAGGCUUUCGGGUCGUAAAGCUCUGUCGCAGGGGAAUAACACAAUGAAUGUACCCUGUAAGAAAGGAUCGGCUAACUUCGUGCCAGCAGCCGCGGUAAGACGAGGGAUCCUAGCGUUGUUCGGAAUUAUUGGGCGUAAAGCGGAUGUAGGUGGCUUUGUAAGUCAGGUGUGAAAGCCUAGGGCUCAAGCCUAGAAGUGCAUCUGAUACUGCGAAGAUUGAGUGUGGGAGAGGCUAGUAGAAUUUUU
Molecule: ribosomal RNA, 600 nt
Filed under: uncultured Bdellovibrio sp.
Lineage: Bacteria; Pseudomonadati; Bdellovibrionota; Bdellovibrionia; Bdellovibrionales; Pseudobdellovibrionaceae
Description: bacterial SSU rRNA
Rfam family: Bacterial small subunit ribosomal RNA
Source: RNAcentral